This 253-nucleotide ribosomal RNA is filed under the name uncultured bacterium. RNAcentral describes it as "partial 16S ribosomal RNA". It matches the Rfam family "Bacterial small subunit ribosomal RNA", at positions 524 to 776 of the family's 1533-position model. The record is from RNAcentral.
UACGUAGGGUGCGAGCGUUGUCCGGAAUUACUGGGCGUAAAGAGCUCGUAGGCGGUUCGUCGCGUCGGCUGUGAAAACCCGGAGCUCAACUCCGGGCCUGCAGUCGAUACGGGCGGACUCGAGUUCGGCAGGGGAGACUGGAAUUCCUGGUGUAGCGGUGAAAUGCGCAGAUAUCAGGAGGAACACCGGUGGCGAAAGCGGCUUCCUGGUCCGACACCGACGUUCAGGCACGAAAGCGUGGGGAGCAAACAGG